GGGAGAGAGAAUUAAUGGUUUACUGUUGACCAGCGUUUCUCUGGACCCAAGGUGGGGAAAUUACAAAAAGAUCACAUCACAUUCCUUUGAUCUUAUGAUUUCCACACAGGCAAGUGCAGAUCGUCAAAUGGGAGAGUUCAGAGCGUUGAAAGGACUUGCUCAAGGUGGGAGCUGGUGGUGCAAAAAGGGAGCAAUCCCAGUGCAACACCUUUCACAUAGUGCCUACCACGUACCCGCCCCAGGUCCCACACGGAGGUGCAGAGAGGCGGAGGAAACUGCACAGGUGAGGAAGGAGAAAAGGACCACUCUGAGAGAGGACAGGAGAGAGGAAGGCAGCCCCAGAAGCAAGAGCCUAUUCUUCUGACCCUAAACUGAGAUAUGCUGAGUAACUGCAAAAGGUAACUUGAGAACGGCUGCUCCUGGCUAUUAAGGUCAUAGUCCAGCAAACCCUUAACACGUGCCCCAAAAAAGACCUUAAGACCAACUUCCCAGGGAUUCCGGGACCACCUCACCACUUGCCCGAGAGGAGAACACCCAAACUGAACCCUCCAUCUCCAGGCACAUGUUAAACUACAUUUUCCAGCCCUCUUGCUUUGAGGCUGGCCAUGUCACUGAGUUCUGGCAAUGAAACGGGCACAGAAGUGAUUUUUGUCACUUUCAGGCCUGAUCCAUAAAAACCUCGAUCCGUCAUCCCCUUUUCCAUCAUCCCUAUCUGGAUGACCCAGGGCACCACGAAGCCAUGUGAUGAAGAUGGGGAGAGCUUGGUCCCUGAAUGAUUACAUGGAGCAGAGCACCCUUCACCCUGCCCGCUGCCACCUACACUGAACUAUGACUUGGAUGAAAUAAACCUUCCCUGUGUUAAUCCGAUGGGCAAAUUGAGACUCAGAGAAGCUUAGUAACGGCCCCUGGCCACAGUGGCAGAAAUUAAAUUUGAUCUCAGCUUUGUCUGCUUCCAAAGUCUUUGCUCAUGGCGCUAUCUGGAUCUUGAGCAUCUACCCCACUCUGGACCACGAAGAUGAGGACCACACUUUGGAAAGGAUCGAUCAGAAAGUCGGAAGGAUCUUGGGUCUGGGUGACUCCCUGACUGGCCUACCU
Molecule: long non-coding RNA, 1095 nt
Filed under: Equus caballus (horse)
Lineage: Eukaryota; Metazoa; Chordata; Mammalia; Perissodactyla; Equidae
Description: lncRNA (ENSECAG00000048457.1)
Source: RNAcentral